AGGCGCGUAGCUCAUCGGUAGAGCACUGCCCGCACACGGCAGAGGUAGGAGGUUCAAUUCCUUCCCGCGCCUACCA
RNAcentral lists this transfer RNA (76 nucleotides) under Alphaproteobacteria bacterium. Its description in RNAcentral is "tRNA-Val". It matches the Rfam family "tRNA". From Rfam's summary of the family: Transfer RNA (tRNA) molecules are approximately 80 nucleotides in length. Their secondary structure includes four short double-helical elements and three loops (D, anti-codon, and T loops). RNAcentral also lists the same sequence under 2 other names. The record is from RNAcentral. Lineage: Bacteria; Pseudomonadati; Pseudomonadota; Alphaproteobacteria.